AGACUCCCUCAGCAGCACAUAUACUAAAAUUGGAAAGAUGCAAAGAAGAUGAGCCCAGUGCCUGAACAAGGAGGAUGUCCAAAUGCCCAAGUAUUUCAUAUUUUU
Molecule: small nuclear RNA, 105 nt
Filed under: Nannospalax galili (Upper Galilee mountains blind mole rat)
Lineage: Eukaryota; Metazoa; Chordata; Mammalia; Rodentia; Spalacidae
Source: RNAcentral